Molecule: unclassified non-coding RNA, 153 nt
Filed under: uncultured Subulispora
Lineage: Eukaryota; Fungi; Ascomycota
Description: sequence contains ITS2
Source: RNAcentral
CAACCCUUAAGCCUAGCUUAGUGUUGGGACUCUACCGCCUGGCGGUAGUUCCUUAAAUCUAACGGCGGAGUUAUAGUUACCUCUGAGCGCAGUAAUUUUUUAUAACGCUUGGGAAGUGCUAUAGUUCUAGCCGCUAAACCCCCUAUUUUUAAU